UACGAAGGUGGCAAGCGUUACUCGGAAUUACUAGGCGUAAAGGGCAGGUAGGUGGUUUGAUAAGUCUGUUGUGUAAGCUCCCGGCUUAACUGGGAGAGGUCAACAGAUACUGUCAGGCUUGAGUAUAGGAGAGGUUACUGGAAUUCCCGGUGUAGCGGUGAAAUGCGCAGAUAUCAGGAGGAACACCGGUGGCGAAGGCGGGUCUCUGGGCCGUAACUGACGCUGAGGAGCGAAAGCAUGGGGAGCGAACAGG
RNAcentral lists this ribosomal RNA (253 nucleotides) under uncultured bacterium. RNAcentral's name for it is "partial 16S ribosomal RNA". It matches the Rfam family "Bacterial small subunit ribosomal RNA", at positions 524 to 776 of the family's 1533-position model. The record is from RNAcentral.